AUGCUGAUUGAGUUCUGCUCUCGUCACUCCUCAGGAACCCAGCCACUCUUGCACCGGGAGGCAGGAAGAGCAUUUCUUGCCAUGGUCCUCUUGCAAGGAGAUUGCCAUGCAAGGACGGAGAAACCGCAAAGGAGGAGCACAAUGCUCAGGACUCUGGUUUUCUGCGAUUGGCUCUUCCAAACAGCUUUUUAUCCCAGUAACUAUCUACCAAAACUAAAGUAAUAAAAAUCCUGUGAGAAAAACAGAUCAGACAAUGAUUCCCAUGCCAUGGAUGAAGAAACUGAGCCUAAGAGUUUCACACUUGCCCCAAAUAACACAAUGACUCAUUGACAAAGAUAAACCAAUAAAUAAAUAAAGCGGGGUUUCCAGUCUUUUCAGUUUGUUGUUCCUUGGCUAGAUAUGACUAUUUGCUGACUGUUUCCAGGGUCCGCAAGCCUGCACCUCUUCCUCCAGCUCAAUUAUCUGAAAACCGAAAGAGUAGAAAAUCGAAAAUGAGAUGGAGGUCAGCGGGGACGUGGGGCCAUGGAUGGCUGCCAUUCCUUGCUUUCUUUUUCAGAAGCCAAAAUUGACAUUGCCCUUUGCUCAGUGACAGCCCCUAGCCCGCGGCGCAACUCCUGGCGUCUGCAGGGGUCCGCACAUUUCAGGAGCUUCCAGCUGCCACUUCUCCUCCGAGGGGUCUCCAGACGCAGAGCUCCGCCAAGUUGGAGCGGAGCAAGGGUGGCCCUGGAGUCGGUGCCAAAGCCUCACUGGGUGCACCGCCCAGAAAGCUGCUUCCUCUAUCUCUGUGAGCGCGGCUGCUCCUCCCGGACCUCUGCAGACUUCAGGGAGACUUGUGGGCAGCCAAGGAACCGCAGGGCCGCUCUGGAGUCCCAGAGAAUUGACUACGCGGAGCCAAGGCUUUCCCCAGUUCCCUCGCGGGUUAACAGUCAGUGCCAGGGAGAAGAGCAGGGCUCUCCCUACCCCCUCCCCAAGUGUGCCCGGGCGUGCUUCCAUCUGAUUAGAAUGUUUCUUCCAUCUGAUUAGAAUGACAGUAGCUUUCAAGUCAUUCAUUUUGAGAAGAAUUUUAGUCUUAAAAGAAAAAAAGACAGUCUCACUGUAAUUGUGAGUUGUAAUAAAUGCAAACUUCUGGUGCCUUCCUCUGCAGUAUGUAAGACAGUAAAAAAUGUGUCUCGUCCAAACUCACCCCCUUCCCAAGCCCAUUGUGAAGUCAAUCGCUAACAAAGGGGACGUGUGAAUAUUCAACACCGAGUCUUUCAGUUGUUAUUUUCCAGAAUCCCUGAGUUGGCCUUUUUUUUUUUAAUUUAAUGGGCGAAUACCUGUUUAAGUUUUUAAAGCACAUGGAAAUCGCCCGCGAGCGACCAUAUAAUUUGAUUUGCCAGGCAAUCUGCAGAGCGAUCGCACAUCAUUUAUAAUGUUCAUUGAGCAUUUUGCCUAAUUGUGUCUGUCUCUGAAAGGGCAGCGCACCCCCUCCCGACCGCGAGCAGCACAAGUGGCGACAUUCCCAUGGAGCGGCCGCGCCGCAGCUUGCCACAUUCAGCGCGGGCGGCAGGGCCGCGCGCUUCCCCGCCCGGGAGACCGGGCGUGCCUGACGCUAAUAGCUCGCGGCUCAGGUACGAGCGGGCGCCGCAUUUGACUCCAUUCAAUUCGCAACCGGCCGCGCUUGCAGGUGUCGCCUUUUGAAACCUCCAUUCAGGCGGCCGCUGUUCACUUCUCGCUGCGCUGCGGGUUUUGUAGAAGCGCAAGAAUGGGGCUGAUUAUUCCUGUGCCC
This 1768-nucleotide long non-coding RNA is filed under the name Marmota monax (woodchuck). The record is from RNAcentral. Lineage: Eukaryota; Metazoa; Chordata; Mammalia; Rodentia; Sciuridae.